This 948-nucleotide ribosomal RNA is filed under the name Triticum aestivum (bread wheat). Its description in RNAcentral is "partial small subunit ribosomal RNA". Lineage: Eukaryota; Viridiplantae; Streptophyta; Magnoliopsida; Poales; Poaceae. The record is from RNAcentral.
AUGAUGGAGCAGGUGAAGAUCGUUCGGGAUGCGAGCCAAGCAGCUUACGACGCCAGCUCCGCUCUUCAGAGCAAUGUUCAGAAAUCCUGCGAUCUUGCGACGCGCUAUACUGAACUGGAGCAGAAGCAUACUCAGCUCGAACUGGACUUGAAGCUAGUGCAGGAGAAUCUGACGAGGGCAAAGGAGGAGACCAAAGGCAAGGUGAAGGAGGCCCAGAGGAAGAAGGAGCUUGAGCUGUCUGAGAAGAUCAAGCUUGCUGAUGAAAAACUGGCCUCAGUCACCAAGCUCGAACAGGAUAACACCAAUCUGAAGGCUGCUCUGGCCAUUGCCAGCAAGGAUGUUGAACGACUGAAGGCUGACAAGACUACUCUGACUGAGAAGAUCAACCAGAUGGCUGGGAAGAAGAACGAGCUGGAAGGCUUCUUGGGUGGUCUUGCCAAAAAAUUGUUCCUUAUGCUUGAAGAGUUCUGUCGCAACUUUGAAGAAGAAACCAGCCAGGUGGAGACGAACCUUGACCCUGUCAAUUCUCCAGUGAAUGAUGAAACUGCCAUGAACAUCUUCCGACUGGAGUCCCGUGUUGCUGCCGUCGUGGAUUAUCUUGCAAGACUGAAGGUUGCUACAUCCCGCAUCGACUCGACGCUCUGGCCCAGGGAAAGACUCCAAAAUGACCUCGAGUCGUUGGUGACUCGACUGAACGCUGUCCCUGACCGAGUGCAAGAGUGGAAGAAGUCUUCAGCUCGAUGUGGUGCGGAUGUCGCCCUGUGUCUGGCACGAGUCCAUUGCAAGGAUGCUCGAGAGGAUAAGCUGGCGGCUCUCCGAGUGGCCAACACCAAAAAGCACGACUUCAGGGCCUUCAUGGAGACUUUCAUUGCUGCUGCUACGCGGAUUGCCGACGGGAUUGACCUUGACGAGUUCGUUGCUCCAUCCAGCCCUCCACAGGAGGGGUAA